Molecule: ribosomal RNA, 468 nt
Filed under: uncultured bacterium
Lineage: Bacteria
Description: partial 16S ribosomal RNA
Rfam family: Bacterial small subunit ribosomal RNA
Source: RNAcentral
GACGAACGCUGGCGGCGUGCUUAACACAUGCAAGUCGAACGGAAAGACCCUGCUUUUGUGGGGUGCUCGAGUGGCGAACGGGUGAGUAACACGUGAGUAACCUGCCCUUGACUUUGGGAUAACUUCAGGAAACUGGGGCUAAUACCGGAUAGGAGCUCCUGCUGCAUGGUGGGGGUUGGAAAGUGUCGGCGGUUGGGGAUGGACUCGCGGCUUAUCAGCUUGUUGGUGGGGUAGUGGCUUACCAAGGCUUUGACGGGUAGCCGGCCUGAGAGGGUGACCGGCCACAUUGGGACUGAGAUACGGCCCAGACUCCUACGGGAGGCAGCAGUGGGGAAUAUUGCACAAUGGGCGGAAGCCUGAUGCAGCAACGCCGCGUGCGGGAUGACGGCCUUCGGGUUGUAAACCGCUUUCGCCUGUGACGAAGCGUGAGUGACGGUAAUGGGUAAAGAAGCACCGGCUAACUACGUG